This 71-nucleotide transfer RNA is filed under the name Loxodonta africana (African savanna elephant). It matches the Rfam family "tRNA". From Rfam's summary of the family: Transfer RNA (tRNA) molecules are approximately 80 nucleotides in length. Their secondary structure includes four short double-helical elements and three loops (D, anti-codon, and T loops). Further hydrogen bonds mediate the characteristic L-shaped molecular structure. tRNAs have two regions of fundamental functional importance: the anti-codon, which is responsible for specific mRNA codon recognition, and the 3' end, to which the tRNAs corresponding amino acid is attached (by aminoacyl-tRNA synthetases). tRNAs cope with the degeneracy of the genetic code in two manners: having more than one tRNA (with a specific anti-codon) for a particular amino acid; and 'wobble' base-pairing, i.e. permitting non-standard base-pairing at the 3rd anti-codon position. The record is from Rfam by way of RNAcentral. Lineage: Eukaryota; Metazoa; Chordata; Mammalia; Proboscidea; Elephantidae.
GCAGUGGUAAUUCAGUGGUAGAAUUAUUACCUUCCAUGCAAGAGACCUAGGUUCAAUUCCCAGCAAGUGUA